Non-coding RNA from Myotis davidii, 74 nucleotides. The record is from Rfam. NCBI's taxonomy places the organism in Eukaryota, Metazoa, Chordata, Mammalia, Chiroptera, Vespertilionidae.
GGCAGUUCUAGGGUGACACACCCAGGAAUUGGGCUCUCUCCUCUCUGGUUCAGGUGCGUCACCCAAGAACUGCA